CCUACGUGUGGCAGCAGUGAGGAAUAUUGGUCACUGGCCGGAAGGCUGAACCAGCCAAGCCGCGUGAAGUACGAAGGUGCCAAGCAUUGUAAACUUCUUUUGUCAAGGGACAAAAUCAGGCUCGAGAGCCUGACCGAGGGUACUUGAAGAAAAAGCAUCGGCUAACUCCGUGCCAGCAGCCGCGGUAAUACGGAGGAUGCGAGCGUUAUCCGGAUUUAUUGUGGUUAACGGGUGCGUAGGCGGACUGUUUAGUCAGCGGUAAAAGCCCGGGGCUCACACCCGGCGAGCCGUGGAAACUGGCUGUAGUGAGAUGUCGAGAGGUAUGCGGAAUGCGCAGUGUAGCGGUGAAAUGCUUAGAGAUUGCGCAGAACUCCGAGUGCGAAGGCAGCAUACCGGCGGCGAUAUGACGCUGAGGCACGAAAGCGUGGGUAUCGAACAGGAUUAGAUACCCUGGUAGUC
RNAcentral lists this ribosomal RNA (459 nucleotides) under uncultured bacterium. RNAcentral describes it as "partial 16S ribosomal RNA". It matches the Rfam family "Bacterial small subunit ribosomal RNA", at positions 338 to 795 of the family's 1533-position model. The record is from RNAcentral.